GACUCAUCAAGAGCAGUGGAGGGACUGGCCCUGUGAAGCUGCGGCAACCAUUGAUAUGCUUGAAUAUCAAAACGGUGCUAAUUCCUGAAGGCUGUUGGCCUUAAGAUGAGAG
RNAcentral lists this non-coding RNA (112 nucleotides) under Anaerovibrio lipolyticus. Its description in RNAcentral is "SAM-I sequence". It matches the Rfam family "SAM riboswitch aptamer (S box leader)". From Rfam's summary of the family: The SAM riboswitch is found upstream of a number of genes which code for proteins involved in methionine or cysteine biosynthesis in Gram-positive bacteria. Lineage: Bacteria; Bacillati; Bacillota; Negativicutes; Selenomonadales; Selenomonadaceae. The record is from Rfam by way of RNAcentral.